This 465-nucleotide ribosomal RNA is filed under the name Vreelandella stevensii. Its description in RNAcentral is "partial 16S ribosomal RNA". It matches the Rfam family "Bacterial small subunit ribosomal RNA", at positions 338 to 795 of the family's 1533-position model. Lineage: Bacteria; Pseudomonadati; Pseudomonadota; Gammaproteobacteria; Oceanospirillales; Halomonadaceae. The record is from RNAcentral.
CCUACGGGGUGCAGCAGUGGGGAAUAUUGGACAAUGGGCGAAAGCCUGAUCCAGCCAUGCCGCGUGUGUGAAGAAGGCCUUCGGGUUGUAAAGCACUUUCAGUGGGGAAGAAAGCCUUGGGGCUAAUACCCUCGAGGAAGGACAUCACCCACAGAAGAAGCACCGGCUAACUCCGUGCCAGCAGCCGCGGUAAUACGGAGGGUGCGAGCGUUAAUCGGAAUUACUGGGCGUAAAGCGCGCGUAGGCGGUCUGAUAAGCCGGUUGUGAAAGCCCCGGGCUCAACCUGGGAACGGCAUCCGGAACUGUCAGGCUAGAGUGCAGGAGAGGACGGUAGAAUUCCCGGUGUAGCGGUGAAAUGCGUAGAGAUCGGGAGGAAUACCAGUGGCGAAGGCGGCCUUCUGGACUGACACUGACGCUGAGGUGCGAAAGCGUGGGUAGCAAACAGGAUUAGAUACCCGAGUAGUC